Molecule: transfer RNA, 72 nt
Filed under: Rattus norvegicus (Norway rat)
Lineage: Eukaryota; Metazoa; Chordata; Mammalia; Rodentia; Muridae
Rfam family: tRNA
About the family: Transfer RNA (tRNA) molecules are approximately 80 nucleotides in length.
Source: Rfam by way of RNAcentral
GGAGGAGUGGCUCAAAGGUAUAGUGCUUGCCUGGCAGGCAUGAGUCCCUGGGUUCAAACCCUAGCACUGCGA